Amaranthus tricolor (Joseph's coat) is the source of this 3599-nucleotide RNA transcript. RefSeq lists it as uncharacterized. The transcript has 5 exons. NCBI's taxonomy places the organism in Eukaryota, Viridiplantae, Streptophyta, Magnoliopsida, Caryophyllales, Amaranthaceae. The record is from RefSeq and is a predicted model, not a curated record.
UGGCCACCUCCCUUAUUCUAGACUUGGAGACUGGAGUAGCGAAUUAAGUAAUAUAUAAAAGGAUGGCGGUAAAUCAUAAAAAGAUUUUUUUUUUUCCCACGAACACAAACCAAUCCUUCUCCAGUCUUCACAACCGUGCUCCAGCGAAUUCUUCUUCUUACGUUCCGCUGCUGACGCUACUACCGGUAUAAAUUCAAUGGAAAAUAAAGGAGCUGCAAUGACAUCUGAAAUUGGUCAGAACAAAGGAGGAGCUGAAUCUGAGAAGGCUCAACAGGAUGUCGUUCGUAUUCAGGACUCAUUCUCUGUCGUACAUACUGUUCAAUUCUCCGUCACAGAUCCCCAAUCUGUAAGCAAGGUUGUACGACAGGAUGCACCUAGACAUUCUCAUGAUCCAUCAACAGAGGUUAAUAUGGAGGCUACUAUAAAUACUGAGGAUUUGAUAAGAGCUGGAGGUUUCGGUGCUAGAGAUGAUAUAAGUAGUCUUCUGCCUAUUGCAAGUGACUCCACUGAUUUUGAAGCUUCGUUGCUUGAUGCGCGUGACUAUGAAGAGCCCCAGGGUGAACAAUGUCGACCAGGCCUUGGCUGGAAGGAAGAUAGAGUGUCAGAAUGAAAUAUAUUGUUUCAGAGAAUAUCUUUCAGAUUUUCAUCAUGAACUUAUAACAUGUAAGACUGUAAGUUUGAUCGGAGAGCGAUUGACGGAGUUGGCCCCUACUGAAGGAGCUCCGUGAAGGCUGGUCAGAGUUGGAUUUGUGGGGCCUUCUAUUGACCAGAAUCUGAUUCUCCUUCUAGUUGGCCACGUUUUUAAUGUUCACAAGGUUGUGCAUUAUAAGAAGAGCUUGGACCACUUCCACUAUGAAGUACAAUCAGCAUCUAUGAUUUUAAAGCACCAGUUUAUUGAGGAAAACAAGCAUCCUUUAUAUUAAGGUCAAUAUUAUCAUUAAAUGUGUUUUUUCUGAUUUUUCUCUGUCAAUUCCUUCUUUGAAAUGCAUGCUUUGAUCGAUCUUUUUUGUCCUUAAAUCUUUUAGUCGGGGCCCGUUCUCUGUGCUGUUUGUUAAUUAGCCUAGUACUUCUAUAAAAUUUAGUGACAUGAGCAUCUUGUUGAGUUGGUAUUCUUGGUAAAUCUCUUUUUACUAGAAGCCAGAAUUUUGGAACAUUUCCCCCCUCCUCCAUUAUGCCAAAGUGAACAUUUAAGUGUUGUUCCGAUUUGAGAUCUCAUAUCCGACCUAUGUGAAGUAUUCGAGUGUUCUAUCUAUGUUUGACUGUCAAAAUAAUUUACUAAAACAGUGUGCACCAACCUUAAUAAAUUAUUAGGCUAGUAGAGUGGAGAUAUAAAGUGUGGGUUGGUGAAGACAAGAUUAUGGAGUAUAGGUCAUCCCAAAAGUUAUUUCGGGUUAUCUAAUAAAUUGUUAUUUUUGGGUAAACAUUCUCUAACGUUAAUUGGAUUACUAUCUAACUAUGAGUUAUCUUAUCAUGAUCAGUAUUGUUUUGUAUCUUUUGCUCCUCAGCCACAUUUUUGAGCAGUCAUUUUGAGUGAGUUGAAACAUAAUUAUGUUAUAAAAUGCACGUUAGGUUUUUGUCUUGGCCUACCCAUGUGUGUUCUUUGUUUGCUAAGAUCUUAUGACAUUGAGUAUGUUUACAUUUAGCCGAAAUAAUUGUAAACACAUUGUUGGUGAUUUUAUGUGAAUGCCAUCAUUUCAGUUUUGAUAUAGAUUAAAUUUAUGAUCAGUUGACCUCGGCUCCUCGCUUUCCUUCGGCAUAUCACUUCUGUGUUUUAAGGUUCUAAACUUAAAUGUUUCGAGGUAAACAUUUGUUUUGCUCUUGUUUCCGGACUUGGCCUGUUCAUGGAAUAACAAUGAGUCUCUUCUAACUGCUUUAUAACGAAUUUUAGGAUAUUUAAAUUCAUGAAGUAUCAUCCUGGGACCAUCAUUAUUAGUCAUUCAAACAUUUUAGCUAUUAUAAUCUUUUAAAAAUAUGUAUAAGGUUUUAAAUAUAUAUAAUGUUAUAGAAAACUUUAGUAGUAUAAAUGAGUAUUUUAAGUUAAUAAUUCAUAUUUUUAUGUUCGCCUGUGAGGUAUUGUGUCGGUGCCGUGUUUGUGACAUUAUGACCGUUAUCGCAUUAUUGUACUUUUUUAUGAGGUUUGGACCAAUUAUUUUUUCACACCUUCUUAGAUUGUAAGCGGUUCUAGUGACUGCAUAUUGUGUAAUGUCACAGUGAAAUGUGCUGUUGGGUGAUGUAGAGAUUAUGUGUUACUCGAUUAACUUGCAUUUUGUGUGAUUAAAUAUUUUACCUGUUUGCUAUUGAGCUUGUUAGCUAAUCCUUAAUUUGCCGAGUACAAAAGAAUGGAAAAGUUUCAUUAUUGGUUGAAAAUGAAUCUAUUAGUUGGCAUACAUUUUGGUCAUGGAUGGUUUAACCCAGAACACCAUUUUGAGUUGACUCUAAUUCUAUUGUCAUAGAACAAAUGAGAUAACUCACCUAAAAGACUAAAUUAGUAUGUGAGAUAGUCUAUUUACUUGAUAAACUCUACAUUAAUUGCCUAUACAAUCUAUGAGGGACAAAGUGGCAUAGAGUUACAAAGGUUACUUGGAAAGAAUGUAUUUUCUAUCAUGAAUUACAACCGAUUUGAGUAAAGGAGUUGUUCGACAAGUGAAUUUUGGUUGCUUUGGCAAGGUCAAUUGUUCUCCUAUUACGUACAUUAAUAAAUAAGAGUUGUUUUUUGAGAGAUCUUUGCUUGGCAAGACGACCUUAAAAUAAGGAGUGUAUAUGGUAAUAAUUAUAUUAAUUGAUCUAUUUAAUCUAUGUAUGAAAAAUGUCUCAAGAGUGAGAUUUUUUCACUGUGAAUCAGUAGUCAUAGUUGGAUGAAUGCUAUUUGUGUUUGGUGGGCCUUUCAAGUUGGAUCCAAUUAAAAAAAAGUUCUUUUUCCUAAGUAAUAUAUAUUUCCACUGCCCUUGAAAGUAUGAAACAUUUAUUUUUCAUAGCAAGUCUUUUUUUGAAAAAUUAUUAUUAGAUGUUGCAAGUGUGCUUAACUUGUUCAAUUAGACAUAGAUGGAUGAGUCGGUUGCAAAGAGUGAAAGAGUUUGCAUUUGUAGCAAACUUAGGCAGAGCAAUAAGUAGAUAAUAGAGAAAGUAAAGGUCUAUUCAUCAUAAACAUGUCAUAGUUUGUUGCUUAAAGUUGUUUAACAUUUCCUUUUAUUUGUCUUGUUGAGGUAGUUUUUUCUACUUUUUCUCAUUGAAUAUCUUUGUCUUUAGAUUCUUAUUGUUUGUGCAAUUGUGAAUAAUUUAUUGUAAUGUAAAAAUAUUAUAAAUUUUCGUAACUUAAUGUAUAUCUUUCAUAAAAAUUAUGAUUAGAGUUUAAAAGAUGAUAGAUCAUACUCUUUUCAAAGAUACUUUAAUGUGAUAUGAAGAUUAUAUAUUUUUUUUUACUUUAAAGAUAUCAUAUGAUAAAUCUGAAAAUGUUUACUUUCCUUAGUUGAUAAGACAUUUUACCUACCAAAUUCUCAUAGGCAAAAGCAAACACUAAAACUUUUACAUGUUUAAUAAGAUAAUUAGCACUAAAUUAAUAAGGUUAAUAUGUCUAUGGCAUGAUUAUGGUUAAUUUGAUU